GAUCGGUUAUUAGAUCUAUCAGUGUCCUCCUUUUGAUUUUAUUAAGUUUCGGGAGUUCGGACGUUUUGAUUGCCAAACAUCCUGCUGCAUGAAUUUGUUGUGCCUUUAGUCCACGAUUGUUUCCCAUUGAUUGCCUAGCUGUUUUUUUGUUCCUGUUAGCUUAUGAAAUGAUCAUAGUCAGCAGAACUCAUUUUGACCGUUUUUCGAAAUACCAAAUUGAAAACAGCAAACAAUUGGACAAGCUCGAGCAUUCGUAAUUUAAAUCAUAAUUAAAUAUCGGCGUAAAUUGUUCAUGGUGGAAUGUUUAAAAAUAACAGCAAAGCAUUUUCCAAGUGAAUUACGAGAGCAGCAUAUUUUUCAGUAUCGGCAUAGUUACCAUUUGCUAGUUGCAAGAGUGAAUAUCAUUUCUGCCUUUUCGGAUUGUUACAAUCUUUCCUCAGAAAAUUGUUUGUGUCCAGGCACGUCGAGGAAGUGUCGCUCCAGUUCGGGAGAACAUCGAGUCAAUGUCCGAGCCCAGAUCACGAGAAAAGCUAUGUCGCCAAGCUGCUCCAGCACCCGAGUUGCUAUUUAACCUGUGAGGAGGAGAAAUCGAUAAUGUAAUGCAGGAAAACAAUCGUAUCUCAUUCGUCAACGUGAAAAGGAGAUUAUGCUUAAAAGGCUUCAAGAUCCAGAUCAACGAUAUACCUUGUGCUAGUUGAAGACAUCAGUACAGCUUCCAGUCCUUUUGAGACUGUGAUUCUUGCUCAUCUCGCACCUCUACUACAGUUUACGAUGGACGAUUCUUCAUUUCGAAGUUAUUUGCAGUUUCUGCGUCGGAACCUUCUUUAUUUUGUUAAGCAUCCUUCGCGGAGUCGAAGCUCUCCAUUGUAUCUUAAUAUGUUCAUAAUUGUAAUUCUAUCUUUUAUCAAUAAAUAAUACAAAUGCA
Hermetia illucens (black soldier fly) is the source of this 925-nucleotide long non-coding RNA. RefSeq lists it as uncharacterized. The transcript is spliced from 3 exons. NCBI's taxonomy places the organism in Eukaryota, Metazoa, Arthropoda, Insecta, Diptera, Stratiomyidae. The record is from RefSeq and is a predicted model, not a curated record.